CAAAGGGAUUACCGGUGGCGGAUGGGCAUGCGGCGCAUUAGCUAGUCGGCGGGGUAACGGCCCACCGAGGCGACGAUGCGUAGGGGUUCUGAGAGGAAGGUCCCCCACACUGGUACUGAGACACGGACCAGACUCCUACGGGAGGCAGCAGUGAGGAAUAUUGGUCAAUGGGCGCGAGCCUGAACCAGCCAAGUCGCGUGAGGGAUGACGGUCCUACGGAUUGUAAACCUCUUUUGCCGGGGAGCAAGCGUGCGUUCGUGAACGCGCGUCGAGAGUACCCGGAGAAAAAGCAUCGGCUAACUCCGUGCCAGCAGCCGCGGUAAUACGGAGGAUGCGAGCGUUAUCCGGAUUUAUUGGGUUUAAAGGGUGCGUAGGCGGGAUGCCAAGUCAGCGGUAAAAAUGCGGUGCUCAACGCCGUCGAGCCGUUGAAACUGGCGUUCUUGAGUGGGCGAGAAGUAUGCGGAAUGCGUGGUGUAGCGGUGAAAUGCAUAAAUAUCACGCAGAACUCCGAUUGCGAAGGCAGCAUACCGGCGCCCUACUGACGCUGAGGCACGAAAGCGUGGGUAUCGAACAGGAUUAGAUACCCUGGUAGUCCACGCAGUAAACGAUGAAUGCUAACUGUCCGGCUCGAAUGAGCGCUGG
Molecule: ribosomal RNA, 642 nt
Filed under: uncultured bacterium
Lineage: Bacteria
Description: bacterial SSU rRNA
Rfam family: Bacterial small subunit ribosomal RNA
Source: RNAcentral